This 467-nucleotide ribosomal RNA is filed under the name uncultured bacterium. RNAcentral describes it as "partial 16S ribosomal RNA". It matches the Rfam family "Bacterial small subunit ribosomal RNA", at positions 28 to 507 of the family's 1533-position model. The record is from RNAcentral.
GACGAACGCUGGCGGCGUGCUUAACACAUGCAAGUCGAACGGAAAGGCUCCAGCUUGCUGGAGUACUCGAGUGGCGAACGGGUGAGUAACACGUGGGUAAUCUGCCCUGCACUCUGGGAUAAGCCUGGGAAACUGGGUCUAAUACUGGAUAUGACCUUUCUCCUUAUGGGGUUUGGUGGAAAGUUUUUCGGUGUAGGAUGAGCCCGCGGCCUAUCAGCUUGUUGGUGGGGUGAUGGCCUACCAAGGCGACGACGGGUAGCCGGCCUGAGAGGGUGAUCGGCCACAUUGGGACUGAGAUACGGCCCAGGCUCCUACGGGAGGCAGCAGUAGGGAAUAUUGCACAAUGGGCGGAAGCCUGAUGCAGCGACGCCGCGUGAGGGAUGACGGCCUUCGGGUUGUAAACCUCUUUCAGCAGGGACGAAGCGUAAGUGACGGUACCUGCAGAAGAAGCACCGGCUAACUAUGUG